Molecule: long non-coding RNA, 476 nt
Organism: Esox lucius (northern pike)
Lineage: Eukaryota; Metazoa; Chordata; Actinopteri; Esociformes; Esocidae
Source: Ensembl
UGGACGAUGAUCAGUCUUGUUUAAUGUGUGUUAGCCUUGACAUACAUGCACCAUCCUCAUUAUUUCUAGAACACCUAUUGUCAAUUUGAAGUCUACCUGUAAAAGAUUACAGACCUCUACAUGCUUUUGAACUGUCAUGGCGUCAUCAGAUUUUGUCAGAGACAUAUUGACAAAGUGGGACCUCAGUCAAUGGAUUAAUUUUGAAGAGCAAGAAAUAGACGAAGAAGGUUUUCUCUUACUCGAAGAGAAAGAAUUCAUUAACUUGAUCCCAAAAAUAGGACCACGGACAAAAUUUGCUCACAAACACAAACUUCUAAAGGAACAGAACAAACACAGCAAUGUUGAUGAGAACUUUGAAGUGGCCACGUCAUCAACAGCUUCCAUUAACGCAGCCAAGAGUUCCUCAGGAAAUGUACUUUUUACCUAUAACUAUAUACAUAAAUCCUCACCCCUAAAGGACAUAUUUUAUAUUACAA